CCGUCGAUAGCUCAGUUGGUAGAGCGGAGGACUGUAGAUGUUCUAUAACUAGCAGAGAUGCGGUUAUCCUUAGGUCGCUGGUUCGAAUCCGGCUCGACGGA
This 101-nucleotide transfer RNA is filed under the name Sarcoptes scabiei. RNAcentral describes it as "tRNA-Tyr for anticodon GUA". It matches the Rfam family "tRNA". From Rfam's summary of the family: Transfer RNA (tRNA) molecules are approximately 80 nucleotides in length. Their secondary structure includes four short double-helical elements and three loops (D, anti-codon, and T loops). The record is from Rfam by way of RNAcentral. Lineage: Eukaryota; Metazoa; Arthropoda; Arachnida; Sarcoptiformes; Sarcoptidae.